GCCCCCUUAGCUCAAUUGGCAGAGCAACUGACUCUUAAUCAGUAGGUUCAAGGUUCGAGUCCUUGAGGGGGCACUA
Molecule: transfer RNA, 76 nt
Filed under: Planctomycetaceae bacterium
Lineage: Bacteria; Pseudomonadati; Planctomycetota; Planctomycetia; Planctomycetales; Planctomycetaceae
Description: tRNA-Lys
Rfam family: tRNA
About the family: Transfer RNA (tRNA) molecules are approximately 80 nucleotides in length. Their secondary structure includes four short double-helical elements and three loops (D, anti-codon, and T loops).
Source: RNAcentral